Molecule: ribosomal RNA, 1119 nt
Filed under: Pediococcus pentosaceus
Lineage: Bacteria; Bacillati; Bacillota; Bacilli; Lactobacillales; Lactobacillaceae
Description: bacterial SSU rRNA
Rfam family: Bacterial small subunit ribosomal RNA
Source: RNAcentral
GAGGCAGCAGUAGGGAUCUUCCACAAUGGACGCAAGUCUGAUGGAGCAACGCCGCGUGAGUGAAGAAGGGUUUCGGCUCGUAAAGCUCUGUGUUAAAGAAGAACGUGGGUAAGAGUAACUGUUUACCCAGUGACGGUAUUUAACCAGAAAGCCACGGCUAACUACGUGCCAGCAGCCGCGGUAAUACGUAGGUGGCAAGCGUUAUCCGGAUUUAUUGGGCGUAAAGCGAGCGCAGGCGGUCUUUUAAGUCUAAUGUGAAAGCCUUCGGCUCAACCGAAGAAGUGCAUUGGAAACUGGGAGACUUGAGUGCAGAAGAGGACAGUGGAACUCCAUGUGUAGCGGUGAAAUGCGUAGAUAUAUGGAAGAACACCAGUGGCGAAGGCGGCUGUCUGGUCUGCAACUGACGCUGAGGCUCGAAAGCAUGGGUAGCGAACAGGAUUAGAUACCCUGGUAGUCCAUGCCGUAAACGAUGAUUACUAAGUGUUGGAGGGUUUCCGCCCUUCAGUGCUGCAGCUAACGCAUUAAGUAAUCCGCCUGGGGAGUACGACCGCAAGGUUGAAACUCAAAAGAAUUGACGGGGGCCCGCACAAGCGGUGGAGCAUGUGGUUUAAUUCGAAGCUACGCGAAGAACCUUACCAGGUCUUGACAUCUUCUGACAGUCUAAGAGAUUAGAGGUUCCCUUCGGGGACAGAAUGACAGGUGGUGCAUGGUUGUCGUCAGCUCGUGUCGUGAGAUGUUGGGUUAAGUCCCGCAACGAGCGCAACCCUUAUUACUAGUUGCCAGCAUUAAGUUGGGCACUCUAGUGAGACUGCCGGUGACAAACCGGAGGAAGGUGGGGACGACGUCAAAUCAUCAUGCCCCUUAUGACCUGGGCUACACACGUGCUACAAUGGAUGGUACAACGAGUCGCGAGACCGCGAGGUUAAGCUAAUCUCUUAAAACCAUUCUCAGUUCGGACUGUAGGCUGCAACUCGCCUACACGAAGUCGGAAUCGCUAGUAAUCGCGGAUCAGCAUGCCGCGGUGAAUACGUUCCCGGGCCUUGUACACACCGCCCGUCACACCAUGAGAGUUUGUAACACCCAAAGCCGGUGGGCGUAACCUUCUAUUAAGAUCUACGC